Molecule: ribosomal RNA, 1372 nt
Filed under: uncultured bacterium
Lineage: Bacteria
Description: bacterial SSU rRNA
Rfam family: Bacterial small subunit ribosomal RNA
Source: RNAcentral
GAUGAACGCUGGCGGCGUGCCUAAUACAUGCAAGUCGAGCGAACGGACGAGAAGCUUGCUUUUCUGAUGUUAGCGGCGGACGGGUGAGUAACACGUGGAUAACCUACCUAUAAGACUGGGAUAACUUCGGGAAACCGGAGCUAAUACCGGAUAAUAUUUUGAACCGCAUGGUUCAAAAGUGAAAGACGGUCUUGCUGUCACUUAUAGAUGGAUCCGCGCUGCAUUAGCUAGUUGGUAAGGUAACGGCUUACCAAGGCAACGAUGCAUAGCCGACCUGAGAGGGUGAUCGGCCACACUGGAACUGAGACACGGUCCAGACUCCUACGGGAGGCAGCAGUAGGGAAUCUUCCGCAAUGGGCGAAAGCCCGACGGAGCAACGCCGCGUGAGUGAUGAAGGUCUUCGGAUCGUAAAACUCUGUUAUUAGGGAAGAACAUAUGUGUAAGUAACUGUGCACAUCUUGACGGUACCUAAUCAGAAAGCCACGGCUAACUACGUGCCAGCAGCCGCGGUAAUACGUAGGUGGCAAGCGUUAUCCGGAAUUAUUGGGCGUAAAGCGCGCGUAGGCGGUUUUUUAAGUCUGAUGUGAAAGCCCACGGCUCAACCGUGGAGGGUCAUUGGAAACUGGAAAACUUGAGUGCAGAAGAGGAAAGUGGAAUUCCAUGUGUAGCGGUGAAAUGCGCAGAGAUGUGGAGGAACACCAGUGGCGAAGGCGACUUUCUGGUCUGUAACUGACGCUGAUGUGCGAAAGCGUGGGGAUCAAACAGGAUUAGAUACCCUGGUAGUCCACGCCGUAAACGAUGAGUGCUAAGUGUUAGGGGGUUUCCGCCCCUUAGUGCUGCAGCUAACGCAUUAAGCACUCCGCCUGGGGAGUACGACCGCAAGGUUGAAACUCAAAGGAAUUGACGGGGGCCCGCACAAGCGGUGGAGCAUGUGGUUUAAUUCGAAGCAACGCGAAGAACCUUACCAAAUCUUGACAUCCUUUGACAACUCUAGAGAUAGAGCCUUCCCCUUCGGGGGACAAAGUGACAGGUGGUGCAUGGUUGUCGUCAGCUCGUGUCGUGAGAUGUUGGGUUAAGCCCCGCAACGAGCGCAACCCUUAAGCUUAGUUGCCAUCAUUAAGUUGGGCACUCUAAGUUGACUGCCGGUGACAAACCGGAGGAAGGUGGGGAUGACGUCAAAUCAUCAUGCCCCUUAUGAUUUGGGCUACACACGUGCUACAAUGGACAAUACAAAGGGCAGCGAAACCGCGAGGUCAAGCAAAUCCCAUAAAGUUGUUCUCAGUUCGGAUUGUAGUCUGCAACUCGACUACAUGAAGCUGGAAUCGCUAGUAAUCGUAGAUCAGCAUGCUACGGUGAAUACGUUCCCGGGUCU